RNAcentral lists this ribosomal RNA (655 nucleotides) under Scytodes sp. 59 YFL-2022a. Its description in RNAcentral is "SSU rRNA". It matches the Rfam family "Eukaryotic small subunit ribosomal RNA", at positions 1011 to 1689 of the family's 1831-position model. Lineage: Eukaryota; Metazoa; Arthropoda; Arachnida; Araneae; Scytodidae. The record is from RNAcentral.
GAUACCGCCCUAGUUCUAACCAUAAACGAUGCCAACCAGCGAUCCGCCUGGGUUCCUCAAAUGACUCGGCGGGCAGCUUCCGGGAAACCAAAGUGUUUGGGUUCCGGGGGAAGUAUGGUUGCAAAGCUGAAACUUAAAGGAAUUGACGGAAGGGCACCACCAGGAGUGGAGCCUGCGGCUUAAUUUGACUCAACACGGGAAAACUUACCCGGCCCGGACACUGGAAGGAUUGACAGAUUGAGAGCUCUUUCUUGAUUCAGUGGGUGGUGGUGCAUGGCCGUUCUUAGUUGGUGGAGCGAUUUGUCUGGUUAAUUCCGAUAACGAACGAGACUCUAGCCUACUAAAUAGGCGUUCCGAUCCACUUUGUCGGGCGCUCUUCUUAGAGGGACAAGCGGCGUUUAGCCGCACGAGACAGAGCAAUAACAGGUCUGUGAUGCCCUUAGAUGUCCGGGGCCGCACGCGCGCUACACUGAAGGAAUCAGCGUGUGCUUUCCCUGUCCGGUAGGACUGGGUAACCCGUUCAACCUCCUUCGUGAUAGGGAUAGGGGCUUGUAAUUGUUCCCCUUGAACGAGGAAUUCCCAGUAAGCGCGAGUCAUAAGCUCGUGUUGAUUACGUCCCUGCCCUUUGUACACACCGCCCGUCGCUACUACCGAU